Molecule: ribosomal RNA, 866 nt
Filed under: uncultured bacterium
Lineage: Bacteria
Description: bacterial SSU rRNA
Rfam family: Bacterial small subunit ribosomal RNA
Source: RNAcentral
UNGUAGGUGGUUUGUUGCGUCGUCUGUGAAAUUCCGGGGCUUAACUUCGGGGUGNCAGGCGAUACGGGCAUAACUAGAGUGCUGUAGGGGAGACUGGAAUUCCUGGUGUAGCGGUGGAAUGCGCAGAUAUCAGGAGGAACACCGAUGGCGAAGGCAGGUCUCUGGGCAGUAACUGACGCUGAGGAGCGAAAGCAUGGGGAGCGAACAGGAUUAGAUACCCUGGUAGUCCAUGCUGUAAACGGUGGGCGUUAGGUGUGGGGACCGGUUUGGUUUCUGUGCCGUAGCUAACGCAUUAAGCGCCCCGCCUGGGGAGUACGGCCGCAAGGCUAAAACUCAAAGGAAUUGACGGGGGCCCGCACAAGCGGCGGAGCAUGUGGAUUAAUUCGAUGCAACGCGAAGAACCUUACCUGGGUUUGACAUGCACCAGACGGUUGUAGAGAUACGUACCUCCCUUUGUGGUUGGUGUGCAGGUGGUGCAUGGUUGUCGUCAGCUCGUGUCGUGAGAUGUUGGGUUAAGUCCCGCAACGAGCGCAACCCUUGUCUUAUGUUGCCAGCACGUUUGGGUGGGGACUCAUGAGAGACUGCCGGGGUUAACUCGGAGGAAGGUGGGGAUGACGUCAAAUCAUCAUGCCCUUUAUGCCCAGGGCUUCACACAUGCUACAAUGGUUAGUACAACGCGCUGCGAGCCUGUGAGGGUGAGCGAAUCGCUGAAAGCUAAUCUCAGUUCGGAUUGGGGUCUGCAACUCGACCCCAUGAAGUCGGAGUCGCUAGUAAUCGCAGAUCAGCAAUGCUGCGGUGAAUACGUUCCCGGGCCUUGUACACACCGCCCGUCACGUCAUGAAAGUUGGUAACACCCGAAGCCCAUG